UAUGCUGGGUGGAUUAGUGGCGAACGGGUGAGUAACACGUGAGUAACCUGCCCUUGACUCUGGGAUAAGCGUUGGAAACGACGUCUAAUACCGGAUACGAGCUUCCACCGCAUGGUGAGUUGCUGGAAAGAAUUUUGGUCAAGGAUGGACUCGCGGCCUAUCAGCUUGUUGGUGAGGUAAUGGCUCACCAAGGCGACGACGGGUAGCCGGCCUGAGAGGGUGACCGGCCACACUGGGACUGAGACACGGCCCAGACUCCUACGGGAGGCAGCAGUGGGGAAUAUUGCACAAUGGGCGAAAGCCUGAUGCAGCAACGCCGCGUGAGGGACGACGGCCUUCGGGUUGUAAACCUCUUUUAGCAGGGAAGAAGCGAAAGUGACGGUACCUGCAGAAAAAGCACCGGCUAACUACGUGCCAGCAGCCGCGGUAAUACGUAGGGUGCAAGCGUUGUCCGGAAUUAUUGGGCGUAAAGAGCUCGUAGGCGGUUUGUCGCGUCUGCUGUGAAAUCCCGAGGCUCAACCUCGGGUCUGCAGUGGGUACGGGCAGACUAGAGUGCGGUAGGGGAGAUUGGAAUUCCUGGUGUAGCGGUGGAAUGCGCAGAUAUCAGGAGGAACACCGAUGGCGAAGGCAGAUCUCUGGGCCGCUACUGACGCUGAGGAGCGAAAGGGUGGGGAGCAAACAGGCUUAGAUACCCUGGUAGUCCACCCCGUAAACGUUGGGCGCUAGAUGUGGGGACCAUUCCACGGUUUCCGUGUCGUAGCUAACGCAUUAAGCGCCCCGCCUGGGGGAGUACGGCCGCAAGGCUAAAACUCCAAAGGGAAA
Molecule: ribosomal RNA, 822 nt
Filed under: Plantibacter sp. S36
Lineage: Bacteria; Bacillati; Actinomycetota; Actinomycetes; Micrococcales; Microbacteriaceae
Description: bacterial SSU rRNA
Rfam family: Bacterial small subunit ribosomal RNA
Source: RNAcentral